RNA transcript from Argentina anserina (silverweed cinquefoil), 5621 nucleotides. It is a transcript of the gene named protein ESSENTIAL FOR POTEXVIRUS ACCUMULATION 1-like, with no coding region annotated. NCBI's taxonomy places the organism in Eukaryota, Viridiplantae, Streptophyta, Magnoliopsida, Rosales, Rosaceae. The transcript has 12 exons. The record is from RefSeq and is a predicted model, not a curated record.
CAAACCCUCACCCUUUUCUUUUACCAGAGCCCUCUCUCUCUCUCUCUCUCUCUCUCUCUCUCUGCUCAGUGUUGUUGUACAAACCGAAACCCUAGAUUCUCUGAAAUUUCAGAACCCAAUCCAAACCCUAAGCUCUCUCUCUCUCUCUUUAUUGCCUCUCCACCACCGCUGCUUCAAUCCUCACCUUUCUCCGAUCUCCGGCUUCCUCUCCUCACUUCUCGAACCUCUUUCUAUGGCGGACGGCAAGCUCGAUCUCCCCAACGAUCUCCUCUCCUCCAAGCCCUCCGAUCAGUCCUGGACCUCCAAAGUUCAAGUUUCUAAAGCCAAUGAUGAGGAAAAGGUGCAUAUGGGGUCAGCUGAUGAGUUGAAAGAUCCAGCUGCCUUGGAUAGCGGCAUACCUUUAUCACCGCAGUGGCUUUAUGCCAAGCCAAUUGACUCUAAGUUGGAAAUGCGUGGUCCAACUUCUCUCGGAAACUCCACUGAUAGCAACCAGAAGGAAGUAUGGCGGUCAGAUGGUUCUGAGGACAAAAAAGAUUGGAGGCGGCCUGCUACUGAGAGUGAAAAUAGCCGUCGUUGGCGGGAAGAGGAAAGAGAAACUAGCUUGCUUGGUGGUAGAAGAGAUCGUAGGAAAACGGAACGCCGUGCUGACAACAUUCCAUUGAGAGAGGCAACUGAUAGUAGGACAUUGCCUACAACUGAUAGGUGGAGUGAUGGCCGCAAUGAAGUACGGCGUGAUAGCAAAUGGUCGUCAAGGUGGGGUCCUGAAGAGAAAGAAAAGGAGUCCCGAACUGAGAAGAGAACCGAUGUGGAGAAGGAUGAUGUUCACAGUAACAUUGAGAGUCAGUCUCUUGGAGCUAAUAAUCGUUCAGCUGCUGAGCGUGAGUCAGAUUCUCGGGAUAAAUGGAGGCCACGCCAUAGAAUGGAGGUUCAAACUGGGGGGUUGGCUACUUACCGUGCUGCACCUGGAUUUGGAAUAGAAAAAGGACGAGUGGAGGGUUCAAAUUUGGGAUUUGCCCUUGGGCGAGGAAGGUCAAGUGGUAUUGGGAGAUCCGCAGGUACCAUUUUGUCUGCUCUUUCAGGAAAAAGUGAUAGUGUCCCUGGGAAACCAAGGCGCUCUGUUGAUGAUUUUCGCUACCCAAGGGGAAAGCUUCUUGACAUUUAUCGGCAGCGAAAGCCUGAACUAUCUUUUGAUACCAUGCCAGAGGCGAUGGAGGAGUCGCCUCCACUAACUCAAGUUGGGUUUGUUAAACCAUUGGCUUUUCAUGCCCCUGAUGCUGAUGAGGUGGCCAUCCUUAGCGAUAUAUGGAAGGGAAAGAUAACAAGUAGUGGGGUAGUAUACAAUUCAUUUAGAAAGGGAAGAUCAACUGAAAAUGUUACAGGUGUGGGAGACUCAGAAGCUGCUGAUGGAGUUCUGGGCAAUUUGCCCCCAACUGUCGCUCAAGAGACUAACACCUAUCAAGAGGCUGCAAAUGCUGAUGACUAUGGGACUUUGUGGAAUUAUGGUUCACACAGGAAUAUGAAAAAUGAAAAAGAUGUUAGUCAUAAAGAAAGUGAUAACAUAGGUACUGAAGGAAAGGAUUUUGAUGGAAUGCCCCUAUCAAUUCCAAAAAGUAAUGGUAUCUUUGGUGAUGUGGGGACUGGUGGUUCUUAUGAUAGUGCAAAUCAGCUUCCUGCUUGUGGCAGUAUGAAAGUCAAAGAUUCUUCCUCUCCCAAUCAUCCUGUAUCUGAGGACAUUGAGUUUGCCAAUUAUUCUGAUGUAAGAUCCAAGCUUCCCGAUGUUUCAAAUACUCUCUAUGGUUUGGCCUCUUCUGAGCAGAAUGACCUUAGAGCAAAAGAGUUAGAAAUGGAUGUUCAUCCUGAGGGUUUGUCGUACUUCUACCUUGAUCCUCAAGGGGUGACCCAGGGGCCAUAUCAGGGUUUAGACAUCAUUUCAUGGUUUGAACAAGGUUUCUUUGGGACAGACUUGCUUGUUCGUUUGGAGGAUGCUCCUGAAGGAACACCUUUCAUAGAGUUGGGAGACUUUAUGCCACAUCUUAAAUCUUGGGAUGGAAAUGGUAGCAUCAUAAAUUCAAGUUCUAAUAUAGAAGAAUCUGGUGGCUUAGGAGGAGGCAGUUUACCCUUUACUGCAGCAGUUUCAGACAGUAAUUAUACAUUUUUGGGAAAUGACCAUCAGCGGCCCUUGUGGGAAUUAGACAGCUAUUCAGCUGAGCAUAUUCAGCCAAGAAUUUCUGAGCCUGAAGCUCCAUUACAACUACAUUCAAGGGGUCAAAGCUUUAAUGAUUUUGUUGAACAAGAUGAAGAUAUUGUGUUUCCUGGAAUUAAUGGAACCACUGCCUAUUCUACUGCACGUUCUUCUGGGAGCAUUCAUGAUCCUAUGGCAAACUCUAUGAAUCACCUUCCUCCCACAAAUGAAUUGACAGAAUCUGGUGUGCCUAUUCAGAAUGAUAGGUUGCAUCCCUUUGGGUUGCUAUGGUCUGAGCUAGAAAGUGGCCAAUCAAAGCAAUCCAAGUUGGCCAAUAUGCCAUCUAGUAAGGGGGGGAGGGGAGUUCCAUUUAGUGCAAAUCCUGAUCCAGCAACUACUGAGAUGUGGUCUGAUCAUCAUAGAAAAAAUUCAGUCUCUGAUCCAAACUUGUAUCAGGAAAUGUUAACUCCUCGCCAAUUGUCGCACAUGGAACAGGAACCCAGUCAUCACGAUUUAGCAGAGCAGCUUAUGUCGCAGCAAAUUCGACAGCAGCAGCAACAGCAGCUCCAACAGCGAAAUAUGUUGUCUAGUUUUGCACACAUGAAUGAUAGUGUAUUAGAUCCUAUGCAAAGUCAGAAUAUUAUUCACCAUCAACAAUUAGCCAACCAUUCUUCAGCAGAUCUGGAACACCUUUUGGCACUACAGAGGCAGGCCCAGCUUGAACAACAUCAACUGCAACAGCAGCAGCAGUUCCAUCAGCAGAAGCUCUUACAGGAGCAACAGCAAUCUCAAGUACAACAGGUGCUUUUUGAACAGUUGCUGCGUGGUCAAAUGCAUGAUCCUACACUUAGGCAGCCACAUGUUGAUCCUGUAAGAGCGAACAAUGUUAUUGAUCAGGUUUUAUUAGAGCAGCAGCUCCUACAUGAACUCCAGCAACGGUCUCACCAUCUUCCGAGACAUGUUGAUCCUACUAUGGCGCAGUUGAUUCAAGCAAAAUUUGGUCAUACACCUCAAGGACAUCAAACAGAUUUGUUUGAGCUGCUGUCUCGUGCACAGCAUGAACAACAGUCACUGGAACAACAGAUGCAUGCAAGGCAAUUACCUAUGGGAUUGAGGCAGCGGAUGGAAGAAGAGAGGCAUAUCGGUUCUAUAUGGCCAGCCGAGGAAUCAAAUCAGAUCUUCAGAACCCAUGCUAGUAAUCAUGAUCACAGAGGGCACUCUUCUGGCUUUAAUCCUUUGGAUUUUCAUCAGAGGCAGCAGAGGGCAUCUCAUGAGGAGCAGUUGAAUAACCUGGAGCGGAAUCUUUCAUUACAGGACCGACUUCAGCAAGGGUUCUAUGAGCCUGGUUCACUGCCCUUUGAGCGGUCAAUGUCAUUACCUGCUGGUGCACCAGGGAUGAACUUGGAUGUGGUAAAUGCUAUGAUUCGUGCCCAAGGUUUAGACAUGCAGGAUUCCAUUGGGCGUAUACCGUCGGGUCAAAUUUCUUCUGGAAUCCCUUCCCACAAUGCUCAUCAUCCUCAUGUUCCUAACCAAUUUCAUGUUUCACAUUUGGAUGCAAUAGAGGGACACUGGCCCGAGAAGAAUGAUCAGCUUGAGAGUGACUGGAUGGACGCUCGGUUUCAGCAGCUGCAUAUUAAUGCUGAGAGGCAGAAAAGGGAUUCAGAGAUCAAGAAUUCUUCUCAGGAUCAAAACUUAUGGAUGUCAGAUGGAAUCAAUGAGGAGAACUCGAAGAGACUAUUGAUGGAGCUACUCCAUAAAAAAUCUGGCAAUCAACGUAGCGAGUCGUUGAAUGUGAUGAGCAAUGGGAUGUUGCCUGAUAAAAGUCUGCCAUCUGGCCAGUACUCUGGAUCAAGCUCCUCAAACCACCUGUUCAAUCUUCAUGCAGACCAAGAAGCAGGUCUAAAUAACUCAUUUCGUGUAGGGUCAUUUGGUUCCAAUCCGGGUGAACUCCCACAGGAGGAGCUGGCCAGCAGUGUGGAAAGCAAUGAGAAAUUGAUGUAUAGAUCUAAUUCUGGAGCAUUGGCUGAUAGAGAGUCAUUUCUGGCAGGAAUUAAUGCAACGUGCCAGUCACUUUACACACAAUCUAACAUGAUACCUAAGUCUUCUAUAGGUAAAGAACCUUCUGAGUUGGACGGCAGGAAGUGGGGUUCCAAAAGUGAGGGGAUAAAUAUGGCUCGAUCUUUUGAGAAUCAAGAACGAAUGAUUGAACAAUCAGGGUUGUUGACAACAAAUAAUUUUAAGGAGAGGUCAAAAAACUUGCAUAGCAUGAAUGCUUCCUCAGGUGUUUCAGGUGGGAAUGCUAGUUUUUAUAUUGACAAAAUUGGCCGAAGUAAUUCAUUUGUUGAAGAAACUGCCAAGGAUCGGGUUCCAAUUCCACCCAAAGUGCAAGAAAAUAUUCUGCUCAGACGGCCUCCUGUCCCAAGUGCUUCAGCAUCACAAGAAGGUUUACCAGAACCUACUUCCGAUCCAGUUCUUAGAGGAAAAACUUCAAUUGCUGCUUCAGAUGGGGCAAGGCGAGACACAGUGGUUAGUCCAGUAAACCAAAGUUCUGAUGUUAUGGCAUCUUCAAAAAAAGAAAUGCAUUUUCGCCGUACAUCAUCUGCCAGUGAUGCUGAUGUAUCAGAGGCUUCAUUUAUUGAUAUGCUUAAGAGCAAUGCCAAGAAGAUUCCUCCGAUGGAUGCCCAAACGACAGCUGGAUUUGCAGAAUCAUCAGAAGGUGGCCGGAGUGGCAAAAAGAAAGGAAAGAAAGGGAGGCAAAUUGAUCCUUCCCUCCUUGGUUUUAAAGUCACCAGCACUCGUAUAAUGAUGGGUGAAAUUCAGCGACUCGAUGAUUAGGCCAUUAGUGUAGUUUCUGUGUAUAUCAUAUGAAUUUGCUAGUGUUGUAUAGGUUUAGAACACCUUGAUUCAAAGCAUCUGCAGGUGAUCUGGUAAAGAUGUGGCUUCACUUGCGAAUGUGAGUGUGUAGCAACAGGAUGGUAGAGAAGUUUUGUAGGAUCAAUAGGGUUUGGUUUACAAGGGAAGUGAUCUGCUUCAAGAUUAUGAAAACAUGAAGAAAAAGGAAAUGUUGUAUCCGCAACAAGCUCUAAGAAUCUGGUCAAUAGAGGACCUCUUACGAACCCAAGCUCAGGAUAUGGAGAUUGGUCUCCGAGUUGGAAGAGCAUGUUCUCUAAUCGGUCAAGGUUCUUAUUGGCAAAUUGGAGGAAGGAGCAGUGUUUCUAUGGUGGAGUGAUUGUACCUACUUCCUAGUACUUCAGUGGAUGCAAAUUUGAAGGGGUUAGCACUUCUAGUUUGUCGUGUUGUUCGGAGUGAACUUGAAGUUCGAAGCACUUUUCUUAAUGAAAAAGCCGAGGCAAUUUUGCCUAUACCAUUAAGUGUGGUUGCAUUGGCUGAUAGAUUGCCUGGAGGUUAGAAAGGAAUGAUAAAUUUUCUGUACAGGGUG